KCGAUGUGCAGACGGGUGAGUACGCGUGGAACGUGCCUUUCACUACGGAAUAGCUUUUGGAAACGAAAGGUAAUACCGUAUACGCCCUCCGGGGGAAAGAUUUAUCGGUGAAAGAUCGGUCCGCGUUAGAUUAGCUAGUUGGUGAGGUAACGGCUCACCAAGGCUACGAUCUAUAGCUGGUCUGAGAGGAUGAUCAGCCACACUGGGACUGAGACACGGCCCAGACUCCUACGGGAGGCAGCAGUGGGGAAUAUUGCACAAUGGGCGCAAGCCUGAUGCAGCCAUGCCGCGUGAAUGAUGAAGGCCUUAGGGUUGUAAAAUUCUUUCGCCAAGGAUGAUAAUGACAGUACUUGGUAAAGAAGCCCCGGCUAACUUCGUGCCAGCAGCCGCGGUAAUACGAAGGGGGCUAGCGUUGUUCGGAAUUACUGGGCGUAAAGCGCACGUAGGCGGACUUUUAAGUCAGAUGUGAAAUCCCGAGGCUCAACCUCGGAACUGCAUUUGAAACUGGGAGUCUAGAGAUCAGGAGAGGUUAGCGGAAUACCGAGUGUAGAGGUGAAAUUCGUAGAUAUUCGGUGGAACACCAGUGGCGAAGGCGGCUAACUGGACUGAUACUGACGCUGAGGUGCGAAAGUGUGGGGAGCAAACAGGA
This 649-nucleotide ribosomal RNA is filed under the name uncultured bacterium. RNAcentral's name for it is "bacterial SSU rRNA". It matches the Rfam family "Bacterial small subunit ribosomal RNA", at positions 91 to 777 of the family's 1533-position model. The record is from RNAcentral.